This 275-nucleotide ribosomal RNA is filed under the name uncultured prokaryote. RNAcentral describes it as "partial 16S ribosomal RNA". It matches the Rfam family "Bacterial small subunit ribosomal RNA", at positions 524 to 801 of the family's 1533-position model. The record is from RNAcentral.
UACGUAGGGGCAAGCGUUGUCCGGAAUUACUGGGCGUAAAGGGUGCGUAGGUGGUUUCUUAAGUCAGAGGUGAAAGGCUACGGCUCAACCGUAGUAAGCCUUUGAAACUGAGAAACUUGAGUGCAGGAGAGGAGAGUAGAAUUCCUAGUGUAGCGGUGAAAUGCGUAGAUAUUAGGAGGAAUACCAGUUGCGAAGGCGGCUCUCUGGACUGUAACUGACACUGAGGCACGAAAGCGUGGGGAGCAAACAGGAUUAGAUACCCGGUAGUCCCUGAG